Molecule: non-coding RNA, 115 nt
Organism: Angiostrongylus cantonensis (rat lungworm)
Lineage: Eukaryota; Metazoa; Nematoda; Chromadorea; Rhabditida; Metastrongylidae
Source: Rfam
GCACGGAUGGCCGAGUGGUCUAAGGCGCCAGACUCAAGGUUACACUUGCCGCGCGGAAGCGGUUGGGCAUUCUGGUACUCGUAAGGGUGCGUGGGUUCAAAUCCCACUCCGUGCA